CUACCGGGUAGAGAGGAAGGGGGACAAGGGGGAGUCAGCCACUGGGGAGGGCAGACCCAAGCCUCCGCGCAGGGCGAGGGCCAGGGGUACCCGGUCUGAGGGAUGACAGGAGCCAAACUUGGAGCCCCCUCCUUUCCUGACCUGGCGCGGGGACCCCCUUCUCUGCAGAAAGUGCUGUCUUGGGGCCUGGGGGCAGGGGUGGGGUGGGCACGAGGGCACGGAAUCCAGAUGGUUCUGGAGUUCCAGGUCUGCUCCUCACUGGCUGUGUGACUUGGGUAAGUUACUUCACUCUCCUGAGCCUCCGUUUUCUUGUUAGCAUUUUCAGACAGAAGGUUCUGCUCCACAGGACUGGCGUGAUUCAAUGAGAUAAAGCAUGUCAGGAAGCACUUUGUAGGUUGCUCUUUGUGUGAAUGAUUAUUAUUUGAAAGGAAAAUCUGAGGUGUUCUGCUGGAAAGGAGCGGGGUACAGCACAGCUAUCUGUUGUCACCAUGCCCAGGGAAGAGCGCCAACUAAAACAUGGGUCGGAAUUCAUUGCAGCAAGUGACCUUGAGGCUAAGGGCUGGGAGAGAAAGUGGGGGAGUCACAGCUUCCUGUUCAUCGCCCCCUCCCGGAGCACAGCCUGUGGGGACCUGAGUGGCCCGCCCUCAGUGCUGCUCCUGAGUCUGAAGCUGUCCUGCCAGCCUGUCACCCCCUGCCGUUUCACCCUUUCCUGCUCUAGUCUGUGGAGUCAGAGGCCAGCGGGACCCCCACCCCCUCCUCCAAUCCCCGAGCCCAUGUCAGAGACGCAUGGGUCCUGAGAUACACCCACACCCACACCUCAUCCUGUCUCCCCAUGAUCUCAGUCCUAACUGGCAAAAAUGCCUCACUGGGUCUUCCCCUUUCGCGCCCAUACCCGUAUCCUUUGCAUAAUGUGCUGUGAUGGGGAAAAAGAGAAGGUGGGAGGUGGGUAGAUAAGAGAGGGCUUUCUUUCAGGCGUUCCAAAACAUUCAACACCUUCCUGCCCUCUGCCAGCUAAUUAAGAUGCUUGAACUCCAAUUCCCUUGGAGUGCUGGGGAGGAGAAGGGCCCUUCUGGAACACCAAUCAGCAGUGGGUGUGAUGAACCUCCAGGAGAGACCCAGACUGGGUGCCAGCAUGUUUGGGUCAUUCAGCAAGGGGUGGGUAUGGAGUGGGUGGCAGAAGGGACAGACUGAGCCCAAGUUCAGGUGAGCCCCACAGGCCACCUGCUGGCCUUAGGGACUGUUCCUGGGUGCCUCUGUGCCAGUCCCUCUCUGUGUCAGGGCCAUGGUUUUGUUUGUUUCCACCCAGCAGCACGAUGACUGGCCGUGAACUGGUCAGUGCAUUGGACUUCUUUUUCUCUUUGAUGGAGAACAGAAGUGGGUCAGAAUUCCAGGGUUCUGCUACCCAUUUAAAAAAAUAUUUUUGUUAUUUUUAAGAUUUUAUUUCUUUUUGAGAGAGAGACUGCGAGAACAGGGGAGGGACAGAGAGAGAGGGAGACCGAGGAUCCCAAGCAGGCUCCACGCCGUCAGCACAGAGCCCCACGUGGGGUUCAAACUCAUGAACCGCGAGAUCAUGACCUGAACCGAAGUCUGAGGCUUAACCGACUGAGCCACCCAGGCGUCCCUGAAAUAUCUGGUCCUCUGAUCGUUUGUCCUUUAUUCAUUUCUAAUCUGAGUCCUUUCCUUGUUCUGACACUAGCAGCACCCGUGGUCACAAAGAGAGGUGAUGCCACCAGCUGGCUCAUCUAAGAACUUCACUUUGGAUCCUUUUUUUAUUUUGUUAGUUCAUGUGUUCAUUCAUUCAUUCACUGUCCACAGCGUUUCUUGAACCCUUAUUAUGUGUCAGGCCCUGUGCUAGAGGCAG
This is a long non-coding RNA of Acinonyx jubatus (cheetah), 1861 nucleotides long. RefSeq lists it as uncharacterized. The record is from RefSeq and is a predicted model, not a curated record. The transcript is spliced from 2 exons. Lineage: Eukaryota; Metazoa; Chordata; Mammalia; Carnivora; Felidae.